Molecule: RNA transcript, 3275 nt
Organism: Zea mays
Lineage: Eukaryota; Viridiplantae; Streptophyta; Magnoliopsida; Poales; Poaceae
Gene name: putative protein kinase superfamily protein
Exons: 23
Source: RefSeq, marked validated
GUUUCCCAAGAGUCCGCUCUCUCGUCUUCCUCCUCCUCCUCCUCCCCCUUCCCGAGCUCCUCUCUCUUGCCGUCCACGCUCGACUGCGCGAGACACUGGUCAACGCCCGGGUGGCAGGCGGCUCUGGUGGUGUGUUGUGUGUGUGGUGGUGGGGUCGGGUGAGUCUAGCUCCGUCGCUUGCGCCGGAAGAACUUGUCGGGAGCUGUCUCUAGCCCUCGGGUUCCAUGGGGAGGAACGGUAGCGUGAAGCGCUCGGCGUCUUCGAGCGCUGCGGGUGCUGCUGCGGGGCCGCCGUCCUUCUCUGUGAAUCCCGCCGACUACCGGUUGAUGGAGGAGGUGGGGUACGGUGCGCACGCCGUCGUGUACCGCGCGAUCUUCCUGCCGACCGAGGAUGUUGUGGCUGUCAAGUGCCUGGAUCUCGAUCAGCUCAAUAACAACAUCGAUGAAAUACAAAGGGAGGCUCAAAUAAUGAGCUUGAUAGAUCAUCCUAAUGUAAUCAGGGCUUACUGCUCAUUUGUUGUAGAGCACAGCCUCUGGGUGAUAAUGCCAUUCAUGACAGAGGGUUCUUGUUUACACUUAAUGAAGAUCUCAUACCAAGAAGGUUUUGAUGAGCCGGUCAUUGGCUCCAUUCUAAAGGAAACUCUUAAGGCUCUGGAAUACCUUCACCGGCAGGGUCAAAUACAUCGUGAUGUUAAGGCUGGUAAUAUCCUUAUUGAUGGUGCUGGGGUAGUGAAGCUUGGAGACUUUGGUGUUUCUGCUUGUAUGUUUGAUAGAGGUGACAGGCAAAGAUCUAGGAAUACAUUUGUAGGAACACCAUGCUGGAUGGCUCCAGAAGUGCUCCAACCUGGCACUGGAUAUAAUUUCAAAGCUGACAUAUGGUCAUUUGGAAUCACUGCUCUUGAACUAGCACAUGGCCAUGCUCCAUUUUCGAAAUACCCCCCUAUGAAGGUUCUUCUCAUGACACUCCAGAAUGCACCACCUGGUCUUGAUUAUGAACGUGACAGAAGAUUCUCGAAGUCAUUUAAAGAGAUGGUUGCAAUGUGCUUGGUCAAAGAUCAAACAAAGAGACCAACAGCUGAGAAGUUGCUAAAGCAUUCAUUUUUCAAAAAUGCAAAGCCUCCGGAGUUGACUAUUAAGAAUAUCUUAUCUGGUUUACCUCCUCUCUGGGACCGUGUAAAGGCUCUCCAGCUUAAAGAUGCAGCACAAUUGGCUUUGAAGAAAAUGCCUUCUUCUGAACAGGAGGCUCUCUCCCUGAGUGAAUAUCAACGCGGUGUUAGUGCAUGGAACUUCGAUAUCGAGGAUCUCAAGGCUCAAGCAUCAUUGAUUCAUGAUGACGAGCCACCAGAAAUAAAAGAAGAUGAUGACAUUCCAAGAAACAUUGAGGAUUUAUCUUCACGGAACCAUUUGGCAAAGUCAUCUGCAAAUGAAUGCAACUCCAGCCAGCGAGCUUUUGCCACCACUUUAAAUUCGGAUGGAAACAGCCCCACCAUGAACGAAGCUUUUGAUUUUGAUAUUAGCGAUGCUGACACUACAAGAAGGGCUGAUGGAUAUGAAAGCAACACAAGGCAGAAUGAUUCGUUGCCCUCUACAUCAAAGAGAGAUCCAGAGUCGAAUCAUUGGGCAAGUGAUGGCCAGAGACAACUGACUUCUGGUGGGAACAAUAGCUCAACAUCUGAAAGGGGCUAUGGUUUUGAGAGGGAUGCAUCUGUGCAAAUGAUAUCUGACAAACAAAGAAGUGAGAUGAGAAAAACAGCAAGCCUUAGUGGUCCACUUUCACUGCCAACUCGUGCUUCUGCAAAUAGUCUGUCAGCUCCUAUUCGAUCUUCAGGAGGUUAUGUAGAUUCAUCAGGCGAUAAGUCCAAACGAAGUGUAGUAGAGAUUAAAGGUCGCUUCUCAGUGACAUCUGAGAAUGUCGAUCUUGCAAAGGUUCAGGAAGGUCCACUUAGUAGUCUCUCCCGGAAAUCACCAGAGGGUUCACUGUUAAGAAAAUCUGCCAGCACUGGUGAUUAUUUUGUUAAUCCUAAGCUGAUGGAUCCACGGACAGGACAUGUGAUUCUUUGCUGCAAUAGCAACGACGAUCUCUACGCCAUACCAUCAACCUCAUGCUGGAACAGAUUGCUCUGUUGUUCACCCUAUUUGAUGUCCAGGCAGUGGCUGGGAGUAGGGAGGCACAUAUAUCACCAUUUUCAUGGUUGGGGCGGAGGAAACUCGGAGUAAUCAAUGGGGACUGGGGAAUGUUGAAGUUGAAGGAGGCUGAAAGGCAUGGUCAGCUCUGACCAUCAAGGGGUCUAUCUUUGUUUUGGCGCAGAUAGAGAGAGAGGGGGAGAUUGAGAGAGAUCGAGCACAUGCUACUGCAGCAGUGUAAUGCUAAUCAGCUGAAGGAACUAUGCAAUAGUUCAGUAUCAUCUUCAGUAUUAAUUCCCCACCUUAACAACCUUGUGCAACAGACUAUGUUUCAGCAGGAUCUAAUCAUGAACCUACUUAGUAACUUGCAACAAAGUGAGAAAGUUGAUGGAACACAACCAAUAAUAUCUUCUCAAGUCCGAACAAUGGAGAAUGAUAAAGUAGCUGAUACAGUUAACUCUGUGAAGGAACGGUCAUUACUUGUUAAAAUUUCAGAGUUGCAGUCUAGGAUGAUAAUACUGACUGAUGAAUUAAUUGCAGCUAAGCUAAAACAUGUUCAGUUGCAGCAAGAGCUAAAUGCACUGUACUGCCGAGAAGAAAUUGUGGAUAUCAGGGAUGAGGAUAACGAAGAAACAUAAUGAGGAUCCAUGCCGUAUGAAUUAUCCGCCUCUCUCUGAGAUGCAUAAAUUACCUGCCUCUCCCUGAGGUCAAUGGAGAACAGGAGAAGGAAAGCGGCGGGGAGAACAAGAGAAGAAAAGUGGAGGUGCCGCAAAUAUUUGCUGGAUCUAGAGAGUAGCUGCGGUUGUGUUUUUUUUCUUUGAAGGUUGUCUUCCCCUUGCUUGCUGUCAUCAGUCAUCAGUGUGUAUAACCGUCUCUUUUUCAGUAGUUCGAGGUUUUUUUUUGGGUGACUACAAGAUGAGGCGUGGUCAUGCUGCUAUUUUUCUGUCAUCCCCAUCAUUGGAAGUAGCUGUGAUUAUGUAGUACGUAGGCUACCGGGGUGGUUAAUCUAUGUAGAAUUGCAGGUGACUGCAUAAUAAAUUGUAUUUUAUGUAGCAAUAGGAUGUAUAUUAAAUAUUGGCGCAUUCGUUGAUAUAAUAUCAUAUAGGGCUAUUUGCAAACAUCCAAACAAGGUUGUUUGCAUAUAUCUAAUAA